This 404-nucleotide ribosomal RNA is filed under the name uncultured bacterium. RNAcentral's name for it is "bacterial SSU rRNA". It matches the Rfam family "Bacterial small subunit ribosomal RNA", at positions 355 to 775 of the family's 1533-position model. The record is from RNAcentral.
UAGGGAAUAUUAGUUAAUGUGCGAAAGCGCGAACUAGCAACGCCGCGUGUGCGAUGAAGGCCUUCGGGUCGUAAAGCACUUUUCCGAGGGACGAGGAAGGACGGUACCUCGGGAAUAAGCAUCGGCUAACUACGUGCCAGCAGCCGCGGUAAAACGUAGGAUGCGAGCGUUAUCCGGAUUUACUGGGCGUAAAGCGCGUGUAGGCGGUUUGGUAAGUUGGAUGUGAAAGCUCCUGGCUUAACUGGGAGAGGUCGUUCAAUACUGCCGAGCUAGAGGAUGGUAGAGGGAGGUGGAAUUCCGAGUGUAGUGGUGAAAUGCGUAGAUAUUCGGAGGAACACCAGUGGCGAAAGCGGCCUCCUGGACUAUUUCUGACGCUCAGACGCGAAAGCUAGGGUAGCAAACGG